ACCUACUGCUACGAUGAGUCCACUGCUCCUCCUGUGUGUCCUUGCAUUAUUCACUAAAGAGUCAAGAUGUCAGAUUUCUAUAAAUCAACCAUCAGCACCAAAGUCAGUUCCCUCUGGAGGGAGCGUCACUUUCACGUGCACCACUGGGAGUACCGUGUAUAGCUACAUGGCCUGGUACCAGCAGAGACAGGGAGCAAGUCCUAAACUCCUGAUCUAUGAUGCAAGCACCCGCUACUCUGAUACCCCAAGUCGCUUUAGUGGCAGUGGGUCAGGAACUUCGUUUAGCUUGACCAUCAGUGGUGUUCAGCCUGAAGAUGCUGGUUACUACUACUGUCAGCAUUAUUACACACACUACACAGUGACAGAGACUCGUACAAAAACCUCACUGAGCUGCUGUCAUGUCCGUAGAUGUGAAAAAGAAAUGCUGAGAUGA
This is a non-coding RNA of Polypterus senegalus (gray bichir), 433 nucleotides long. Lineage: Eukaryota; Metazoa; Chordata; Cladistia; Polypteriformes; Polypteridae. The record is from the annotation of a RefSeq genome assembly.